RNAcentral lists this ribosomal RNA (492 nucleotides) under uncultured bacterium. RNAcentral describes it as "partial 16S ribosomal RNA". It matches the Rfam family "Bacterial small subunit ribosomal RNA", at positions 29 to 507 of the family's 1533-position model. The record is from RNAcentral.
AGUGAACGCUGGCGGUAGGCCUAACACAUGCAAGUCGAACGGCAGCACAGUAAGAGCUUGCUCUUACGGGUGGCGAGUGGCGGACGGGUGAGGAAUACAUCGGAAUCUACUUUUUCGUGGGGGAUAACGUAGGGAAACUUACGCUAAUACCGCAUACGACCUACGGGUGAAAGCAGGGGAUCUUCGGACCUUGCGCGAUUGAAUGAGCCGAUGUCGGAUUAGCUAGUUGGCGGGGUAAAGGCCCACCAAGGCGACGAUCCGUAGCUGGCCUGAGAGGAUGAUCGGCCACACUGGAACUGAGACACGGUCCAGACUCCUACGGGAGGCAGCAGUGGGGAAUAUUGGACAAUGGGCGCAAGCCUGAUCCAGCCAUACCGCGUGAGUGAAGAAGGCCUUCGGGUUGUAAAGCCCUUUUGUUGGGAAAGAAAAGCAGCAGGUUAAUACCCCGCUGUUCUGACGGUACCCAAAGAAUAAGCACCGGCUAACUUCGUG